CCGUAUAGUUUGCAGACAAGCUGUGUGAGCACGCCGGCGUUUGUGCAAGGCUGCGAGUCGGCGGCCAGGAGCGCGUCCCGUCCCGGAGCAGUCCCGCCGCAGGCCGCAGGGUGGUGCUCGUGGCCAAGGCGGCGGCGAGCGGCUGCGAGCGGGGAGGCGGCCGAGCCCAGCGCAGCGCAGCGCAGCGCAGCCGGGAGGCGGCGGCGAGCGGUCGUCCGCGGCGUCCUCCGCAGCAGCCGCUGCCGGUCCCGGAGUGCCGCGCUGCGGGCCGCCAGCCGAGCUCGGCGAGAGGGAGAGAGGGAGGCCGCGAGGGAGGGCGCCCGCCCUUGGCGCCGCGCUGCUGCCGGGCGCCGCUUCCCGCGGAGGACUGCGGCAGACGGAGGGUGUCCGCCGCCCCGCCAUGGCGUCUGCAAGGCAAGUGCUUUGUCUGUGUGCUUUGCUGUGCGUGCCGCGCGUUCGCUGCGAGCCCAUCCGCUACUCCGUAGCCGAGGAGGGGGAGAGCGGCUCCGUGGUGGCCAACGUGGCGGAGGACGCGGGGCUGACGCCGGCGCAGCUGUCGGCUCGCCGGGCACGCAUUGCCUCCGCGGACGGCCGGCAGCAUUUUCGCUUAGAGCGCGCCACCGGCCGCCUCGUCCUGGCGGAGCGGCUCGAUCGCGAGGAGAUGUGCGGCCGCUCGCUUACCUGCACGCUCGCCUUCGAGCUCCUGCUGGAAAACCCGCUGCAGUUCUUUCGUGUCGAGGUGGCCGUGGAGGACGUCAACGACCACUCGCCGGUCUUUCCCGAGGAACGAGUCACUNNNNNNNNNNAACACCCUCAUGUUCUGUUGUGCUGCAUUAUACACUGUACCAUUUUUAAGCUGGUAUACCCUUGUCUGUAAAAGUGAAAUGGAAUGAAUUCCCAAGUGCCAUUCUGGCAAUAAAAAGGAUGCUGUUGUCCUGGGUCACUGUCUGUCUGGGUACUUUUUUAUUUACUGUAUAUAUUUUUAAUUGGUUCCUUAACGGAGGUUUUGGCUUGGUGUCAUGUGUCCUUAAACUGGAGAUGUGACUGCUAGUGCAUGAAGGAUAUCUUGGCAGGUCUCUUGUAGGCCUUGUGAGCACUGAGCAUAAGAAGCAGCUGAGCAGCUGGGCCCAGAAGGGUGGUGAUCAGUGGCACAAAGUCCUGUUGGAUACCAGGAACUAUUGGUAUCCCAUAUUGUUCACCACUGAUUGCAUUGUUCAACAUGUGUGGGAUUGGCUGCUCCACCUGGAUCCAUACAAAUCCAUAGUUUUAGACGGGAUUCAUCUCAGGGUGCUCAGAGAGCUGACUGACGUCAUUGUGGGACUUCUCUCAAUUAUUUUUCAGUGUUCUUGGGAAUCUGGAGAGGUCCCAGUAGACUGGAAGCUGGCAAAUGUUGUACCAGUUUUCAAGAAGGGCAAGAAAGAAGACCCCGGAAACUACAGGCCUGUUAGUGUCAUGGCAGUGCAGGGUAGAAUUAUGGAGAUUAUUCUGGGAGUUAUUAAAUCACACCUGGGGGACAACACAGUCAUUGGCCCCAGCCAACAUGGCUUCAUGAGGGAUAGGUUCUGUUUAACAAAUUUGAUUUCCAUUUAUUAUAAUGUCACCCAUGUAGUUGAUGAAGCGAAACCAGCUGCUGUAAUCUUUUUGGAUUUCAGUAAAGCUUUUGACACAGUUUCCCUUAGGAUCCUACUGGGCACCAUGUCCAGCAUACAGCUAGAGAAAAACAUCAUACGAUGGGUGAAUAAUUAUCUGAUAGGUUGUGCUUGAAGGUUUACGGUAAAUGGGGCUGCAUCAGGCCAGUGGCCGGUCACCAGUGG
RNAcentral lists this long non-coding RNA (1814 nucleotides) under Anas zonorhyncha (Eastern spot-billed duck). RNAcentral's name for it is "lncRNA (ENSAZOG00000016662.1)". The record is from RNAcentral. Lineage: Eukaryota; Metazoa; Chordata; Aves; Anseriformes; Anatidae.